GGCCCCAUCGUCUAUCGGUUAGGACAGCGGCCUCUCACGCCGUAAAGAGGGGUUCGAUUCCCCUUGGGGUCACCA
Molecule: transfer RNA, 75 nt
Filed under: Deltaproteobacteria bacterium
Lineage: Bacteria; Pseudomonadati; Myxococcota; Myxococcia
Also listed under: 2 other names
Description: tRNA-Glu
Rfam family: tRNA
About the family: Transfer RNA (tRNA) molecules are approximately 80 nucleotides in length. Their secondary structure includes four short double-helical elements and three loops (D, anti-codon, and T loops). Further hydrogen bonds mediate the characteristic L-shaped molecular structure. tRNAs have two regions of fundamental functional importance: the anti-codon, which is responsible for specific mRNA codon recognition, and the 3' end, to which the tRNAs corresponding amino acid is attached (by aminoacyl-tRNA synthetases). tRNAs cope with the degeneracy of the genetic code in two manners: having more than one tRNA (with a specific anti-codon) for a particular amino acid; and 'wobble' base-pairing, i.e. permitting non-standard base-pairing at the 3rd anti-codon position.
Source: RNAcentral